UGUCUUUUAAAUGAAGACCUGUAUGAAUGGCAUAACGAGGGCUUAACUGUCUCCUCCCCCCAGUCAAUGAAAUUGAUCUCCCCGUGCAGAAGCGGGGAUAAUUACAUAAGACGAGAAGACCCUGUGGAGCUUUAAAUCAAGGACAGACCAUGUCAAGAAUAACAAACAAGAACGUUAAACAAAUUGGUUGCUGUUCAAGUAUUUUUGGUUGGGGCGACCGCGGGGUAAUAAACAACCCCCAUGUGGACUAAGAAAACAUUCUUAAAACUAAGAGCCACUGCUCUAAGAAACAGAAUUUCUGACCUUAAUGAUCCGGCCUGGCCGAUCAACGAACCCAGUUACCCCAGGGAUAACAGCGCAAUCCUCUUCUAGAGCCCAUAUCGACAAGAGGGUUUACGACCUCGAUGUUGGAUCAGGACAUCCUAAUGGUGUAGCCGCUAUUAAGGGUUUGUUUGUUCAACAAUUAAAGU
RNAcentral lists this ribosomal RNA (470 nucleotides) under Oryzias celebensis (Celebes medaka). RNAcentral describes it as "partial 16S ribosomal RNA". It matches the Rfam family "Bacterial large subunit ribosomal RNA", at positions 1970 to 2594 of the family's 2925-position model. Lineage: Eukaryota; Metazoa; Chordata; Actinopteri; Beloniformes; Adrianichthyidae. The record is from RNAcentral.